UACGUAGGGGGCAAGCGUUAUUCAUCAUAAUUGGGCGUAUAGGGUACGUAGGCUGUUUUUAAAGUUUAAAGUGAAAUACUAAGGCUUAACCUUAGAACGCUUUCUAUGUUUCUAAAAACUUGAGUUAAAGUAAGGUUAGUGGUACUCUCAGUGUAGAGGUGGAAUUCGUAAAAAUUGAAGGGGACCACCAUCGGGCGAAGGCGACUAACUGGCUUUAACUGACGCUGAUGUACGAAAGCACAGGUAGCAAACAGG
This 255-nucleotide ribosomal RNA is filed under the name uncultured bacterium. RNAcentral's name for it is "partial 16S ribosomal RNA". It matches the Rfam family "Bacterial small subunit ribosomal RNA", at positions 524 to 776 of the family's 1533-position model. The record is from RNAcentral.